GCGGCAUUAGCUCUGAUGGCAGAGCGCCGGAUUUUGGCUCCGGAGGCCGCGGGUUCGAGCCCCGCAUGUCGCCCCA
RNAcentral lists this transfer RNA (76 nucleotides) under Rhodocyclaceae bacterium. Its description in RNAcentral is "tRNA-Gln". It matches the Rfam family "tRNA". From Rfam's summary of the family: Transfer RNA (tRNA) molecules are approximately 80 nucleotides in length. Their secondary structure includes four short double-helical elements and three loops (D, anti-codon, and T loops). The record is from RNAcentral. Lineage: Bacteria; Pseudomonadati; Pseudomonadota; Betaproteobacteria; Rhodocyclales; Rhodocyclaceae.